GACGAACGCUGGCGGCGUGCUUAACACAUGCAAGUCGAACGGUAGGGCCCUUUCGGGGGUACACGAGUGGCGAACGGGUGAGUAACACGUGGGUAAUCUGCCCUGCACUUUGGGAUAAGCCUGGGAAACUGGGUCUAAUACCGGAUAGGAGCGUCCGCCGCAUGGUGGGGGUUGGAAAGUUUUUUCGGUGCAGGAUGGGACCGCGGCCUAUCAGCUUGUUGGUGGGGUAAUGGCUUACCAAGGCGACGACGGGUAGCCGG
RNAcentral lists this ribosomal RNA (260 nucleotides) under uncultured bacterium. Its description in RNAcentral is "partial 16S ribosomal RNA". It matches the Rfam family "Bacterial small subunit ribosomal RNA", at positions 28 to 290 of the family's 1533-position model. The record is from RNAcentral.